Molecule: unclassified non-coding RNA, 138 nt
Organism: Heterocephalus glaber (naked mole-rat)
Lineage: Eukaryota; Metazoa; Chordata; Mammalia; Rodentia; Bathyergidae
Rfam family: Metazoan signal recognition particle RNA
About the family: The signal recognition particle (SRP) is a universally conserved ribonucleoprotein. It is involved in the co-translational targeting of proteins to membranes.
Source: Ensembl
GCCGGGCAUGGUGGCGCAUGCCUGUAAUCCCAGCACUCGGGAGGCUGAGGCAGGAGGAUCGCUGUGAGUUCGAGGCCAGCCUGGGCUACAUAGUGAGUUCAGGGCCAGCCUGAACUACAAAGGGAGAUCCUGCCUCAA